GCCUGAAUGAUGUAGUGGUUUGACUGUAGGAAUAUAACUCUAGAGACCAGGGUUCGAUUCCCAGCUCGGCCA
This is a non-coding RNA of Phrynosoma platyrhinos (Desert horned lizard), 72 nucleotides long. The record is from the annotation of a GenBank genome assembly. NCBI's taxonomy places the organism in Eukaryota, Metazoa, Chordata, Lepidosauria, Squamata, Phrynosomatidae.